Molecule: ribosomal RNA, 1812 nt
Filed under: Rhipicephalus microplus (southern cattle tick)
Lineage: Eukaryota; Metazoa; Arthropoda; Arachnida; Ixodida; Ixodidae
Description: SSU rRNA
Rfam family: Eukaryotic small subunit ribosomal RNA
Source: RNAcentral
CCUGGUUGAUCCUGCCAGUAAUCAUAUGCUUGUCUCAAAGAUUAAGCCAUGCAUGUCUAAGUACAUGCCGAAAUAAGGCGAAACCGCGAAUGGCUCAUUAAAUCAGUUAUGGUUCCUUAGAUCGUUUCUUCCUACUUGGAUAACUGUGGCAAUUCUAGAGCUAAUACAUGCAGUGAGCCUGGAGCCCUUUGGGUAACGGGUGCUUUUAUUAGACCAAGAUCGAUCGGGUUUCGGCCCGUAUUGUGUGGUGACUCUGGAUAACUUUGUGCUGAUCGCAUGGCCACGAGCCGGCGACGUUUCUUUCAAGUGUCUGCCUUAUCAACUUUCGAUGGUAGGUUACUUGCUUACCAUGGUUGUUACGGGUAACGGAGAAUCAGGGUUCGAUUCCGGAGAGGGAGCCUGAGAAACGGCUACCACAUCCAAGGAAGGCAGCAGGCGCGCAAAUUACCCACUCCCGGCACGGGGAGGUAGUGACGAAAAAUAACAAUACGGGACUCUUUUGAGGCCCCGUAAUUGAAAUGAGUACACUCUAAAUCCUUUAACGAGGAUCAAUUGGAGGGCAAGUCUGGUGCCAGCAGCCGCGGUAAUUCCAGCUCCAAUAGCGUAUACUAAAGCUGCUGCGGUUAAAAAGCUCGUAGUUGGAUCUCAGUUCCAGACGAGUAGUGCAUCUACCCGAUGCGACGGCUCGGACUGAACAUCAUGCCGGUUCUUUCUUGGUGCACUUCAUUGUGUGCCUCGAGAUGGCCGGUGCUUUUACUUUGAAAAAAUUAGAGUGCUCAACGCAGGCGAGUCGCCUGAAUAAACUUGCAUGGAAUAAUAGAACAAGACCUCGUUUCUGUUCUGUUGGUUUUUGGUUUUUGGAAUACGAGGUAAUGAUUAAGAGGGACGGACGGGGGCAUUCGUAUUGCGGCGCUAGAGGUGAAAUUCUUGGACCGUCGCAAGACGAACUACUGCGAAAGCAUUUGCCAAGAAUGUUUUCAUUGAUCAAGAACGAAAGUCAGAGGUUCGAAGGCGAUCAGAUACCGCCCUAGUUCUGACCAUAAACGAUGCCAACCAGCGAUCCGCCUGAGUUACUCAAAUGACUCGGCGGGCAGCUUCCGGGAAACCAAAGUAUUUGGGUUCCGGGGGAAGUAUGGUUGCAAAGCUGAAACUUAAAGGAAUUGACGGAAGGGCACCACCAGGAGUGGAGCCUGCGGCUUAAUUUGACUCAACACGGGAAAACUUACCCGGCCCGGACACUGGGAGGAUUGACAGAUUGAGAGCUCUUUCUUGAUUCGGUGGAUGGUGGUGCAUGGCCGUUCUUAGUUGGUGGAGCGAUUUGUCUGGUUAAUUCCGAUAACGAACGAGACUCUAGCCUAUUAAAUAGGUGCGGGGUUCCCAGCACCUUACAACCUUCUUAGAGGGACAAGCGGCUCCUAGCCGCACGAAACAGAGCAAUAACAGGUCUGUGAUGCCCUUAGAUGUCCGGGGCCGCACGCGCGCUACACUGAAGGAAGCAGCGUGUCUUUAUCCCUGUCUGAAAAGACUGGGUAACCCGUGGAACUUCUUUCGUGAUUGGGAUAGGGGCUUGCAAUUGUUCCCCUUGAACGAGGAAUUCCCAGUAAGCGCGAGUCAUAAGCUCGCGUUGAUUACGUCCCUGCCCUUUGUACACACCGCCCGUCGCUACUACCGAUUGAAUGAUUUAGUGAGGUCUUCGGACCGAUGUCCGGCGCGGCCUUUCGGUUGCGCCGGUCUGUUGGAAAGAUGACCAAACUUGAUCAUUUAGAGGAAGUAAAAGUCGUAACAAGGUUUCCGUAGGUGAACCUGCGGAAG